AUACCAGCUCUCCGAGUGGUGUGGAUGUUUAUUGGGCCUAAAGCAUCCGUAGCUGGCUAAGUUAGUCCCUUGUUAAAUCCACCGAAUUAAUCGUUGGAUUGCGGGGGAUACUGCUUGGCUAGGGGACGAGAGAGGCAGACGGUAUUUCCGGGGUAGGGGUGAAAUCCUAUAAUCCUGGGAAGACCACCUGUGGCGAAGGCUGUCUGCUAGAACGCGCCCGACGGUGAGGGAUGAAAGCUGGGGGAGCGAACCGGAUUAGAUACCCGGGUAGUCCCAGCUGUAAACGAUGCAGGCUAGGUGUUUGGACGGCCACGUGCCGUUCUAGUGCCGCAGGGAAGCUGUUAAGCCUGCCGCCUGGGGAGUACGAUCGCAAGAUUGAA
Molecule: ribosomal RNA, 380 nt
Filed under: uncultured archaeon
Lineage: Archaea
Description: bacterial SSU rRNA
Rfam family: Archaeal small subunit ribosomal RNA
Source: RNAcentral